AACGAACGCUGGCGGCGUGCCUAACACAUGCAAGUCGAACGAGAAAGGGGCUUCGGCCCUGAGUAAAGUGGCGCACGGGUGAGUAACACGUGGGUAACCUGCCUCUGAGAUCGGGAUAACCUGUCGAAAGACGGGCUAAUACCAAAUAAGACCACGGCUUCUUCGGGAGCCGAGGUCAAAGGUAGCCUCUAUUUAUAAGCUAUCGCUCGGAGAUGGGCCCGCGCACCAUUAGCUAGUUGGGGGGUAACGGCCUACCAAGGCAAAGAUGGUUAGCUGGUCUGAGAGGAUGAUCAGCCACACUGGAACUGAGACACGGUCCAGACUCCUACGGGAGGCAGCAGUGGGGAAUAUUGCGCAAUGGGCGAAAGCCUGACGCAGCAACGCCGCGUGAGUGAUGAAGGCC
Molecule: ribosomal RNA, 403 nt
Filed under: uncultured bacterium
Lineage: Bacteria
Description: bacterial SSU rRNA
Rfam family: Bacterial small subunit ribosomal RNA
Source: RNAcentral